UGCGUGUCACGGCCCCCACCCGGGCCACGGCGCGUCGUCGGCGGGCUGCGCUGCGGCGGGGCCUGGGGCGCGGGAUGGAGCGGCCGGCCUGGCGGGCCCGUGUCCUUGUGCGCGUCCGCGCGCUGCCCCCGCGGCCCAGGCUGGGGACGUCUCGCGCCGCUCGGCCUGCAGUCCCCCGGCCUUGCUCUAAUGCGAAACUUGUCGUUGGACUUGAGGGUUUGAACCCCGAUGUGCCAGCCAUCCUGGUGUUACUACGGCUCGGGGAAGCUGGCGCUACUAUUGUUCGUGUGUGUUGUGAUGCGAAGGGUGGGAGACUCGCAAACCUCCUACCUCAGGCCAGGUUCCCUGCCUGGCGCUCAUCCCUCGGAUUUGGAAUUGGCGACAGAUUUGCUGCCGUGAUUUCGUGGACUGUUAUGUACGGUUUCUUAUUUGCUCUUAAUGAUGGGAUCAUGUGCUCAACUGUCAUAAGUUUAGAUCGGGUUUUGCUGUGCCUUAAAAAAAAAACACCCACUAAAGUUCCAAAAUGUUAAUGUUUAAUAUCUGUUCAGUAUUCACCGGCUCACCCCGAGAAGGCCACUAACGUGCUGUGGUGGGUGGGGAGGGGCCGCUGUCUCGGGUUUAUAUUUGGAGCAUGCAGCGUGGUGAACUUUGUGUGUGUGUGUGUGUGUGUGUGUGUGUGUGUGUGUGUGUAACGGUUUUGUGAGGGCCGGCAGCCAGAAAGUAAAUUCAUUCGUGCCAAUUUCAUCAGCAGGGAGGAGCCGAUGUUGACUUUAUGCUUUCCUUUUUAACACUUGCAGGGCACAGAAGGGAAUAAAGGAUGGGGCUGUGGCGUGGUGUUAGCUGCCUUUCCCGUGGUCCACGGACUAUGUCUCUAUGUCAGAUCUGGGGUUCUGCAGGGUAUCCCAAUGAUCCGUAGAGUUAAACAGCCCCAUAGCAGAAGGAGGCUGCUUCCUGGACUCUGUGCUGAGCAGACACUGUUCCACCUGGUUGAAGAUGUGAGGGCGUCGCUAGUACCCCAGAGGGCCGAGAGGUAGGCCAUACAGAGUAGGCCCACGGGGGAACACUGUUGAGAUGUACAGUGGUGGGUAAAGUGUGUGCUGUGGACAGUGCUCGAGGGGAUGAAGUCUGUAUUAGAAAACAUUUGCUGGAGUUAUUUGAUUGUGUCGAUGCUCAGAUGGGUUUUCUCCCUCACUCAUCAGCCCCUCAGAGCUCUAGUCUGUCAUCCUCACUGCUGUUGUAUGAUUCCCAGCACCCAUCACCCAUGUAUCAUCUCAAACAAGCAGUUCUGCUCUGUCUGCAUCUCUUCCAUCAGGACUCAUGGGGAGAGGAUUCUUUAAAUUAGUUUUCAUGGAAACAUCGGAAAAUAUUGUGGAAACACGUAGAAUUUUCAGUGCCCAGUUCCUACAGAGGAGGAUGGAAAAAACAAGUCUGUUUUAAGUGUCAUCACGGUAUCUCUGUUAGCAAAGGGGAGCCCCUGAACUCCACAGCACUGCUCACCUCCCCCUGUCAGCCUGGAAAUAAGCUCGUAUUUGCCUCUCUGAAUCUGGGGCAGUGUUCUGAAUGUGCAUCCCGGCCCCCUCCUAUGCUGGGAGCGGCCACUCAUGGUCCCUUACGAACGUGUACAUGGGACACACUGCCCUGCUCGAUGGCACUCACCUGCCACCAGCUGUCGCUCUCGGAGGGUGAGUAAUAUGUUCCUGCUGCCCAGAGGAUGGCAAAACCACUUUAGACCAACGUGUGCUCAACCCCAUUCUCUGAACAGAUUUUAUAAAAGGGCUUAAUGAAUUUCUCAUUGAGUGUCUGGGCAGAGAAAGGGAUGUGUGUGUUUGCAUUCAGGAAGCACAUUAUUGUUUUUCUUUCUACAUAAACCUUGCUAGGCCUGGCCUGAAGAAUGAAAGAAUCAGAGGUUUGUGGCAUCAGCUGGUGUAGCCUCAGCCCCUCUGUGCCACCCCUACCCCCUUGUCUUGCUUUGUCCCUGCUGAGUUGAUAGAGUUGCUCUUUAAGGUCCUUUGGAAUUUCAGGUCUUAUAAGCACAUAAGCGGUUUUACUGGCUUAAAUGAAAUGAACCGGGUUGUUUUCCAGUAUUGCUCAGGAGAAAUCAACGAGUGGAAGGAUCAGAAAUCUGUAUCUCUCUACAUUUUGGAACUUAAAAAAUGCCCCAGCGUACCCGCUUCCACAGUGAAAAGUUAAAACAAGCCUUCGUGCCGAAUUACUUAAGUAUAUUGCUUUCACAUUUCCUGUUCCAUCAGGACUCAUGGGGAGAGGAUUCUUUAAAUUAGUUUUCAUGGAAAUAUUGGAAAAAAUUGUGGAAACAUGUGGAAUUUUCAGUGCUCGGUUCCUACAGAGGAGGAUGGAAAAAACAAGUCUGUUUUCAGCGCAUCACGUCGGUUGAAAAAACAGGGUUGGAACUGUUUCUGUGCCUAAUGAAGAGAUUGAAGACCAUGGGCAGAUCUAGCUAGUUGUGUCAGCACCAGAGCCAGGGAUUCCUUGCACACCCGUCUGCAAUCACGCACGAUUAUUAUUAUGUUUUUACUGAAUUGUUUAGUUAGUCAAGUCAUAGAUUUUUCUAUUUGUUAGAGAAAAUUUGUAACAUUUAAAAUAAAAAAACUGCCUGAACAUC
Molecule: long non-coding RNA, 2620 nt
Organism: Myotis myotis
Lineage: Eukaryota; Metazoa; Chordata; Mammalia; Chiroptera; Vespertilionidae
Exons: 2
Source: RefSeq, a predicted model, not a curated record